RNAcentral lists this ribosomal RNA (253 nucleotides) under uncultured bacterium. Its description in RNAcentral is "partial 16S ribosomal RNA". It matches the Rfam family "Bacterial small subunit ribosomal RNA", at positions 524 to 776 of the family's 1533-position model. The record is from RNAcentral.
GACGGAGGAUGCAAGCGUUAUCCGGAAUGAUUGGGCGUAAAGCGUCCGCAGGUGGCAGUUCAAGUCUGCUGUCAAAGACCGGGGCUUAACUUCGGAAAGGCAGUGGAAACUGAACAGCUAGAGUAUGGUAGGGGCAGAGGGAAUUCCUGGUGUAGCGGUGAAAUGCGUAGAGAUCAGGAAGAACAUCGGUGGCGAAGGCGCUCUGCUGGACCACAACUGACGCUCAGGGACGAAAGCGUGGGGAGCGAAUGGG